UCGUUCCGUGAGAUGUUGGAUUAAGUCCCGCAACGAGCGCAACCNUGUUUCCUGUUGCCAUCGGGUAAUGCCGGGCACUCUGGAGAGACUGCCGGUGACAAACCGGAGGAAGGUGGGGAUGACGUCAAGUCAGCAUGGCCUUUAUGUCCAGGGCUACACACGUGCUACAAUGGCCGGUACAAACCGUCGCGAGCCCGCGAGGGGGAGCUAAUCGGAAAAAGCCGGUCUCAGUUCGGAUUGUAGGCUGCAACUCGCCUGCAUGAAGUCGGAAUCGCUAGUAAUCGCGGAUCAGCAUGCCGCGGUGAAUACGUUCCCGGGCCUUGUACACACCGCCCGUCACAUCACGAAAGCUGGCUGUACUAGAAAUCGCCGCGUUAACCCGCAAGGGGGACAAGCGCUUAAGGUAUGGUCAGUGAUUGGGGUGAAGUCGUAACAAGGUAGCNAGUAGGAGGACCUGUGGCUGGAUCACCUCUUAAAUCUAAGUCAUUCGCGAGUACCGGCUGAUUC
RNAcentral lists this ribosomal RNA (507 nucleotides) under uncultured bacterium. RNAcentral's name for it is "bacterial SSU rRNA". It matches the Rfam family "Bacterial small subunit ribosomal RNA", at positions 1060 to 1533 of the family's 1533-position model. The record is from RNAcentral.